Molecule: small nuclear RNA, 106 nt
Organism: Cricetulus griseus (Chinese hamster)
Lineage: Eukaryota; Metazoa; Chordata; Mammalia; Rodentia; Cricetidae
Source: Ensembl
GUGCUUGCUUCGGCAGCACAUACACUACAACUGGAAGGAUGCAGAGUUCCUUAGCAUGGCACUGCACAAGGAUGACACAGGAAUUGGUGAAGCUGGGUUACAUCGU